GAGUUUGAUCUUGGCUCAGAACGAACGCUGGCGGCAUGCCUAACACAUGCAAGUCGAACGAAGGCUUCGGCCUUAGUGGCGCACGGGUGCGUAACGCGUGGGAAUCUGCCCUUUGCUUCGGAAUAACAGUGGGAAACUACUGCUAAUACCGGAUGAUGUCUUCGGACCAAAGAUUUAUCGGCAAGGGAUGAGCCCGCGUAGGAUUAGGUAGUUGGUGGGGUAAAGGCCUACCAAGCCGACGAUCCUUAGCUGGUCUGAGAGGAUGAUCAGCCACACUGGGACUGAGACACGGCCCAGACUCCUACGGGAGGCAGCAGUGGGGAAUAUUGGACAAUGGGGGGAACCCUGAUCCAGCAAUGCCGCGUGAGUGAUGAAGGCCUUAGGGUUGUAAAGCUCUUUUACCAGGAAUGAUAAUGACAGUACCUGGAGAAUAAGCUCCGGCUAACUCCGUGCCAGCAGCCGCCGCGGUAAC
This 472-nucleotide ribosomal RNA is filed under the name uncultured Alphaproteobacteria bacterium. RNAcentral describes it as "bacterial SSU rRNA". It matches the Rfam family "Bacterial small subunit ribosomal RNA", at positions 9 to 524 of the family's 1533-position model. Lineage: Bacteria; Pseudomonadati; Pseudomonadota; Alphaproteobacteria. The record is from RNAcentral.